RNAcentral lists this ribosomal RNA (743 nucleotides) under uncultured bacterium. RNAcentral's name for it is "bacterial SSU rRNA". It matches the Rfam family "Bacterial small subunit ribosomal RNA", at positions 9 to 747 of the family's 1533-position model. The record is from RNAcentral.
GAGUUUGAUCCUGGCUCAGGAUGAACGCUAGCGGCAGGCUUAAUACAUGCAAGUUGAACGAAGUUAUUUUUAGCAAUAGAAAUAAUUUAGUGGCGCACGGGUGCGUAACACGUAUGCAACCUACCCUUAACUGGAACAUAACAUGAAGAAAUUCGUGCUAAUAUUUCAUAGUAUUUAGAAUUGGCAUCAAUUUUAAAUUAAAGCUACGGCGGUUAAGGAUGGGCAUGCGUCCCAUUAGCUAGUUGGUAAGGUAAUGGCUUACCAAGGCUACGAUGGGUAGGGGUUCUGAGAGGAAGGUCCCCCACACUGGUACUGAGACACGGACCAGACUCCUACGGGAGGCAGCAGUAAGGAAUAUUGGUCAAUGGACGCAAGUCUGAACCAGCCAUGCCGCGUGCAGGAAGACGGCCCUAUGGGUUGUAAACUGCUUUUGACGGGGAAAAAAGUCCGAUACGAGUUAUCGGUUUGCUAGUACCUGUUGAAUAAGCAUCGGCUAACUCCGUGCCAGCAGCCGCGGUAAUACGUAGGUGGCAAGCGUUGUCCGGAUUUAUUGGGCGUAAAGCGAGCGCAGGCGGUUGAUUAAGUCUGAUGUGAAAGCCCCCGGCUCAACCGGGGAGGGUCAUUGGAAACUGGUCAACUUGAGUGCAGAAGAGGAGAGUGGAAUUCCAUGUGUAGCGGUGAAUGCGUAGAUAUAUGGAGGAACACCAGUGGCGAAGGCGGCUCUCUGGUCUGUAACUGACGCU